UACGUAGGGGGCAAGCGUUGUCCGGAAUCAUUGGGCGUAAAGCGCGUGUAGGCGGCCCAGUAAGUCCGCUCUGAAAGCCCGGGGCUCAACCCCGGGAGGCGGGUGGAUACUGCUGGGCUCGAGUCCGGAAGAGGCGAGUGGAAUUCCUGGUGUAGCGGUGAAAUGCGCAGAUAUCAGGAGGAACACCGAUUGCGAAGGCAGCUCGCUGGGACGGUACUGACGCUGAGACGUGAAAGCGUGGGGAGUAAACAGG
Molecule: ribosomal RNA, 253 nt
Filed under: uncultured bacterium
Lineage: Bacteria
Description: partial 16S ribosomal RNA
Rfam family: Bacterial small subunit ribosomal RNA
Source: RNAcentral